Leopardus geoffroyi (Geoffroy's cat) is the source of this 213-nucleotide long non-coding RNA. RefSeq lists it as uncharacterized. NCBI's taxonomy places the organism in Eukaryota, Metazoa, Chordata, Mammalia, Carnivora, Felidae. The transcript has 2 exons. The record is from RefSeq and is a predicted model, not a curated record.
CCCCCACCGCGGGCGUCUCUAGGUCCUGCCACAAUAUCAUGGAUCCAGGCGGUGGGAAGGGGGGGGGGGCGGUGACGUGUGAUGUCGCGUCUCCCCCAUAAGGACACGAUAGACCAAAGUGGCCCGAAGAACACAGAGACCGGAAGAGCAGAAAUGGGGCUAUGAUUCCCCCAAAAUCACAUAAACCCGAGCAGAGAGAAACUCCGAAGUUUC